AUACACCUGCUUUUCACUGCUUCGGCAUAUUUAACUGAUCCGUUGCCUUUUCAUUUUCCAAAAAUAAAUAAACACUACACGAAAACAACAACAAAGACAAGGAGAAGAGAAGGGAGAAAAGCUUGACACAUACAAAAAUACAUACAUGCGACUGCUAUCGAGCAGCCAGUCAGAAAAGAGAAGAUGGGACAG
RNAcentral lists this non-coding RNA (192 nucleotides) under Palpitomonas bilix. The record is from RNAcentral.